This 253-nucleotide ribosomal RNA is filed under the name uncultured bacterium. RNAcentral describes it as "partial 16S ribosomal RNA". It matches the Rfam family "Bacterial small subunit ribosomal RNA", at positions 524 to 776 of the family's 1533-position model. The record is from RNAcentral.
GACGUAGGGCGCGAGCGUUGUCCGGAAUUAUUGGGCGUAAAGAGCUUGUAGGCGGUUUGUCGCGUCUGCUGUGAAAAUCCGGGGCUCAACCCCGGACUUGCAGUGGGUACGGGCAGACUAGAGUGUGGUAGGGGAGACUGGAAUUCCUGGUGUAGCGGUGAAAUGCGCAGAUAUCAGGAGGAACACCGAUGGCGAAGGCAGGUCUCUGGGCCACUACUGACGCUGAGGAGCGAAAGCGUGGGGAGCGAACAGG